UCGUAGAUUGAUUCGUCUGCUUAAUUGCGAUAACGAACGAGACCUCCGCCUGUUAACUAGACCUUGUUUCGCGAGAAGCAAUAUCCUUCGGGUGGUCUUCUUAAAGGGACAAUCUACGCUUUUUACAAGUAAGUGGAUGGAAGUAGGAGGCAAUUACA
This 158-nucleotide ribosomal RNA is filed under the name uncultured eukaryote. Its description in RNAcentral is "partial 18S ribosomal RNA". It matches the Rfam family "Eukaryotic small subunit ribosomal RNA", at positions 1299 to 1458 of the family's 1831-position model. The record is from RNAcentral.